Molecule: transfer RNA, 75 nt
Filed under: Spirochaetota bacterium
Lineage: Bacteria; Pseudomonadati; Spirochaetota
Description: Spirochaetes bacterium tRNA-Val
Rfam family: tRNA
About the family: Transfer RNA (tRNA) molecules are approximately 80 nucleotides in length. Their secondary structure includes four short double-helical elements and three loops (D, anti-codon, and T loops).
Source: RNAcentral
GGCUCCUUAGUUCUCUGGGAGGGCGGUUGUCUUACAAGCAGCAAUAGGAGAGUUCGAUUCUCUCAGGAGCUACCA